Molecule: ribosomal RNA, 253 nt
Filed under: uncultured bacterium
Lineage: Bacteria
Description: partial 16S ribosomal RNA
Rfam family: Bacterial small subunit ribosomal RNA
Source: RNAcentral
UACGUAGGGAGCAAGCGUUAUCCGAAUUUAUUGGGUGUAAAGGGUGCGUAGACGGAGAAGCAAGUUAGUUGUGAAAUCCCUCGGCUUAACUGAGGAACUGCAACUAAAACUACUUCCCUUGAGUACUGGAGAGGAAAGUGGAAUUCCUAGUGUAGCGGUGAAAUGCGUAGAUAUUAGGAGGAACACCAGUGGCGAAGGCGACUUUCUGGACAGUAACUGACGUUGAGGCACGAAAGUGUGGGGAGCAAACAGG